GUUAAUGUAGCUUACAUAAAGUGUAGUACUGAAAAUACUAAGACAGAUUUUAAAAUAUCUCGUGAACA
Molecule: transfer RNA, 68 nt
Filed under: Paramesotriton deloustali (Vietnam warty newt)
Lineage: Eukaryota; Metazoa; Chordata; Amphibia; Caudata; Salamandridae
Description: tRNA-Phe
Source: RNAcentral